CGGGCCUGGCCAGCGGCUCGGGGCUUGCAGGGAGGGCGGAUCUCGGGUCGGACCCGCAGCCCCAGACGCCGAGCUUGGGGGUUCCCCCCGCCCCGGCCUCCUGCCAGUCACUACCACCCCUAGCCUCUCCAACUGAGCUCGGCGCCGGGAGAGGAUUAAGUUUUGUACAUCAGGAAGAAGAAGAGGCUGGAGAAGCUACGCCACCAGCUCAUGCCCAUGUACAACUUCGACCCCACGGAGGAACAAGAUGAGUUGGAGCAGGAGCUGCUGGAGCAUGGGCGGGACGCCGCCUCUGUACAGGCUGCUACUUCUGUGCAGGCCAUGCAGGGCAAGACUACUCUGCCCUCCCAGGGCCCACUGCAGAGACCCAGCCAGCUGGUGUUUACCGAUGUGGCCAAUGCCAUCCAUGCGUGAGUGGCCUGGGACAAGCCUGGACUUCUGAUAGAGACCCAUCACGGUGCCCACAGAGCUCCCCACUCCCUGAUUGUCAAGACCUACUCUGAAGAUCUUCCCUGCCAAGACACAAGAGGGCUGAGCCAGGCCCUAGCUGUUCUCCAGACCCACCUGCUGACUCUAGACUCUAAGAGAGGGCCCUAGCCAGGCUGGACUUCUGACCACUGACUUCUCCUGACCUGAGGGUCCUGGCACAGAGGGCAUCCCUCAUGCUGAGAAGGUCAAGAGCCUCUGCUGGCUUCCUCAUCCCCUGUCCAGAUCCCUCACAUCAGGGUCUGCCCCGCUAAUGUGGAGGAAAUGAGGGAGAUACGGAGUGGGAGGGAUUGGGGGAGGAA
Molecule: small RNA, 788 nt
Filed under: Pan troglodytes (chimpanzee)
Lineage: Eukaryota; Metazoa; Chordata; Mammalia; Primates; Hominidae
Description: processed transcript
Source: RNAcentral